This 413-nucleotide ribosomal RNA is filed under the name bacterium enrichment culture clone ALO1_GLFRUDD03F8W2W. Its description in RNAcentral is "bacterial SSU rRNA". It matches the Rfam family "Bacterial small subunit ribosomal RNA", at positions 9 to 424 of the family's 1533-position model. The record is from RNAcentral.
GAGUUUGAUCUUGGCUCAGAUUGAACGCUGGCGGCAUGCCUUACACAUGCAAGUCGAACGGCAGCACGGGGGCUUGCUCCUGGUGACGAGUGGCGAACGGGUGAGUAAUGCAUCGGAACGUAUCCUGGAGUGGGGGAUAACGUAGCGAAAGUUACGCUAAUACCGCAUAUUCUGUGAGCAGGAAAGCGGGGGACCUUCGGGCCUCGCGCUCUUGGAGCGGCCGAUGUCGGAUUAGCUAGUUGGUGAGGUAAAGGCUCACCAAGGCGACGAUCCGUAGCAGGUCUGAGAGGAUGAUCUGCCACACUGGAACUGAGACACGGUCCAGACUCCUACGGGAGGCAGCAGUGGGGAAUUUUGGACAAUGGGGGCAACCCUGAUCCAGCCAUGCCGCGUGAGUGAAGAAGGCCUCGGUU